AGAGUUUGAUCCUGGCUCAGGACGAACGCUGGCGGCGUGCCUAAUACAUGCAAGUAGAACGCUGAAGAGAGGAGCUUGCUCUUCUUGGAUGAGUUGCGAACGGGUGAGUAACGCGUAGGUAACCUGCCUUGUAGCGGGGGAUAACUAUUGGAAACGAUAGCUAAUACCGCAUAACAAUGGAUGACACAUGUCAUUUAUUUGAAAGGGGCAAUUGCUCCACUACAAGAUGGACCUGCGUUGUAUUAGCUAGUAGGUGAGGUAAUGGCUCACCUAGGCGACGAUACAUAGCCGACCUGAGAGGGUGAUCGGCCACACUGGGACUGAGACACGGCCCAGACUCCUACGGGAGGCAGCAGUAGGGAAUCUUCGGCAAUGGGGGCAACCCUGACCGAGCAACGCCGCGUGAGUGAAGAAGGUUUUCGGAUCGUAAAGCUCUGUUGUAAGUCAAGAACGGGUGUGAGAGUGGAAAGUUCACACUGUGACGGUAGCUUACCAGAAAGGGACGGCUAACUACGUGCCAGCAGCCGCGGUAAUACGUAGGUCCCGAGCGUUGUCCGGAUUUAUUGGGCGUAAAGCGAGCGCAGGCGGUUUGAUAAGUCUGAAGUUAAAGGCUGUGGCUCAACCAUAGUUCGCUUUGGAAACUGUCAAACUUGAGUGCAGAAGGGGAGAGUGGAAUUCCAUGUGUAGCGGUGAAAUGCGUAGAUAUAUGGAGGAACACCGGUGGCGAAAGCGGCUCUCUGGUCUGUAACUGACGCUGAGGCUCGAAAGCGUGGGGAGCGAACAGGAUUAGAUACCCUGGUAGUCCACGCCGUAAACGAUGAGUGCUAGGUGUUGGAUCCUUUCCGGGAUUCAGUGCCGCAGCUAACGCAUUAAGCACUCCGCCUGGGGAGUACGACCGCAAGGUUGAAACUCAAAGGAAUUGACGGGGGCCCGCACAAGCGGUGGAGCAUGUGGUUUAAUUCGAAGCAACGCGAAGAACCUUACCAGGUCUUGACAUCCCGAUGCUAUUUCUAGAGAUAGAAAGUUACUUCGGUACAUCGGUGACAGGUGGUGCAUGGUUGUCGUCAGCUCGUGUCGUGAGAUGUUGGGUUAAGUCCCGCAACGAGCGCAACCCCUAUUGUUAGUUGCCAUCAUUCAGUUGGGCACUCUAGCGAGACUGCCGGUAAUAAACCGGAGGAAGGUGGGGAUGACGUCAAAUCAUCAUGCCCCUUAUGACCUGGGCUACACACGUGCUACAAUGGUUGGUACAACGAGUUGCGAGUCGGUGACGGCGAGCUAAUCUCUUAAAGCCAAUCUCAGUUCGGAUUGUAGGCUGCAACUCGCCUACAUGAAGUUGGAAUCGCUAGUAAUCGCGGAUCAGCACGCCGCGGUGAAUACGUUCCCGGGCCUUGUACACACCGCCCGUCACACCACGAGAGUUUGUAACACCCGAAGUCGGUGAGGUAACCUUUUGGAGCCAGCCGCCUAAGGUGGGACAGAUGAUUGGGGUGAAGUCGUAACAAGGUA
Molecule: ribosomal RNA, 1506 nt
Filed under: metagenome
Description: bacterial SSU rRNA
Rfam family: Bacterial small subunit ribosomal RNA
Source: RNAcentral